This is a long non-coding RNA of Cavia porcellus (domestic guinea pig), 1570 nucleotides long. RefSeq lists it as uncharacterized. The transcript has 4 exons. The record is from RefSeq and is a predicted model, not a curated record. Lineage: Eukaryota; Metazoa; Chordata; Mammalia; Rodentia; Caviidae.
AUCUUUUUCAAGACAACAAGGAGAAAAAGUAAUUAUUCUUCUUUAGGCCUUGGUAUUUUUAUAUGAUUGACAUUCACUCUCUGUCUCUCCCCUAGGCAGCACUUCCAGAUGAGAGUCUGUGCAGAUCAGCUGCAGCAUGCAAAGACCAACCCAUUCUGUUGCUGCACCUGAAAUUCCUCCAUCUCAGAGCUCCUGAGACUCACAUGGAAUCUGACAUAUGCUGAAAUUGAGCUUCCAAAUGUGACCAAGGUGGAACAGAUCUCAUUUCUUAAGGACUUCUCAAAAUGGUCCAGCCUGGGGCCAGGACCCACUCUGGUAUGCUCUACAGUGCAAAAGCAGGCGAAAGUCUGGAAUCAGCGUGUGGAUAGGACCAUGCUCCCUCAGAAGCCCUAGAGGAAACAUUCCUUGUCUCUUCCAGCCUCACGUGGCAGCUGGUGUUUCUUCCCGUGUCACCACAUCUCCCUCAGCUGUCUUCAGCAGUCAUGGAACCUGCUCUUCUUGUGUCUGGAGCUGAAUCUGCUCCGCCUCUCUACUGAGGACCCAUGGGAGGGCAUCUGGAGCCUAUGCAGACAACCCAGGAUAAGGUUUUUCCUCAAACUCCUUCAUCUAAUCCCACCACUUGUCAUGGAAGGCAGUGCUCCCAGGUUCUGGUUCUGAAGAAGGGGCACAUCCUUUGGCCACCAUUCAGCCCACUGGCAAUGACAGUGUGACAGCUAUAAUGAGGGACACUGAGCUGAUUCAUCAGCACUUCAGGAUAGUCAAGAAAGGGUUGGCAUAAAAAAAUAACAACAAAACUGAAAAUAAGUGAGUCCUAAAGCCCAUGAAAUUGACAGGGUAUCCCAGGUAUAGAAGGCUCCAUAACAACCAAGAGAAUUCAGAACCUAUUCAGGGUGAGACCAAAUUCUAGAGUGUAAGACAUCUGAGAAAGAAUUAUGACACAAAUGAUCUGCAGAGAGCAGGUAAACAGAGAGUCUUAGAAAUAAUCACUUGUAUUUUUAUCUUAAUAUAUAUUUAACUAUUUAAGAGAAUGGAAAAAAUUUGCCCCAUAAUGUCAUGAUCAGAGGGUCUAAAGGAGAGUUCUCUGCCAGUUUCUACAAAGCUGAAAUGUGGCCAUCAAUUUGUCCACUAGUUAAACCAUGCAGAGGAUUAGUUUUUCUUUUAAACAUCAUAGCCAAAAUCCUCAUUAAGAUAUUAAGCAUAUGAAAUUCUUCAUAAUGCUAUCAAAGGUGGCAUUUAAUUUAAUAAUUAGGUAGACUGAAUAGAUUAUCCGCAAUGGUGAGAAUCUCAAGUGAAUAUUUCAGCCACUGUAGCUCCUAAUGCUAUAAUACAUACAAGUAAGGGAAAAUUAUUUGAGCAUUGAGAAACGUGUGUUUGAAUUUUCAUUUGGUAUCAAUUCUAAAAGUAAAGGAAAAAAUGCUUCUGCAAGCAUAAGAUUAAAUUUAGUUGAGUGUUUUGUAAGCAUUGUUUUCUUAAAUAAAAAAAGUAAAAUUAUGCCCAGAUUUCCUCUGCUUCUAUUUCUUUCCAUAUUGGUGAAAUCCUGUGCACAGAUGUGUAUACACUGAACAUGAAG